Molecule: ribosomal RNA, 253 nt
Filed under: uncultured bacterium
Lineage: Bacteria
Description: partial 16S ribosomal RNA
Rfam family: Bacterial small subunit ribosomal RNA
Source: RNAcentral
UACAGAGGGUGCGAGCGUUAAUCGGAAUUACUGGGCGUAAAGGGCGCGUAGGUGGUUAGUUAAGAUUGAUGUGAAAUCCCUGGGCUUAACCUAGGAAUGGCAUCGAUGACUGGCUAGCUGGAGUACUGUAGAGGGUAGUGGAAUUUCCGGUGUAGCGGUGAAAUGCGUAGAGAUCGGAAGGAACACCAGUGGCGAAGGCGACUAUCUGGACAGAUACUGACACUGAGGCGCGAGAGCGUGGGGAGCAAACAGG